AACCCCUGGGAGUGGGCUCCACCAAGGAGCCCCCUUCUUCGCCUCGGUCUCUCUGCUCUCCAGCUGGGGCCCUUGGAGAAAGCAGAUGUCGCCCCCUUCGGGCUGUGCUGGAAUGAAGCCAGAAGGCUUGGGGCACUUCGGGGGGCUGGGGCUGGAGUUAGCCCGCCAGGCCCCUGGCCUUCUGCGCCUGCGUUCCCCCUUGAGAGAAGUCAGAACAAAUUCCAUUCCCUUUGGAGCAGCGCCGCUAGAGAUUCUGGGCACAGCUGGAUUUUCCUUUUAACAGUUUGCUGUCAGAAGAACAGGAUCUGAAGGAGACCCCCAGCACCCUCCAGGAGCGUGACUACCCAGAUUCAGAGAGCAGACCCCAUGUUCGACAGGAACAGGACUGGGUCCAGUCAGUGGCAUUAGCUUCUAAGUGAGAGAUCUGGAACCCAGAUUGGGAUCCAGCGAUUGAACUGCAUAUUUCACAGGAACUGGACAGGGUCCAGUUGGAGGCCUCGGCCCUGCACCCGCCCCAGGACCUGUGAAAGUGAAUGUCCAUCUUCUCCCUCCCUGAAUCUCAGGGUCAUCCCCCGCGCGCUGGAACUGGCCACUCUCUAGGAACCGAACGAGGUAGCUCCAGUCUGACAUCAUGCUGGUUUCCUGACGCCAGUGGAGCAGAUACGCUUCUCCCUCUGCAGGACUUCCAGAUCCCUAAGGACAGCUCUGGUCGGCUCCAUGCGGGUCAGCAGCUCCUCAGCCAGCAGCUCUGGCUGCUUCCCUUCUGCCAAGCCUGGCAAUGACGGAGUGUUUGCGGCCUGACCCCAGAUCUCCCCCAACCUUGCGAGUGACUCAUUGGGAUAUCAUGCUGGUAGCUGGAAAUCACCAUGAUGGGAGUAUUUACACCACAGGAUUUGGAAACGCUACAAAUCAAGGGUUUUUUUCUCUUUUUUUCUUCUUCUUCUUUUUUCUUUAAAAUCCCUUGGAGAAACAGUAGUUAAAUGGCUCUCAGCCCAUACCACUGCCCACAACCACUGUUACAAGAACUUGGUUUUAUCUAGACCUUGUCUUACCAGCAACCCUGUGUCCUCAGAUCCUUUCCUGACACACUUUCACACACAACCCAGUGUUAUCUGGAAACCGCUCUAACCCCAGUUUAACUAACUCUGCGUUUUCCUGCAGUCACUUAAACCCAGGGUUCUCAGACACUUGUCGGCACAGACUCACCCAUUGCUAAGUGGCACGUAACCCGAGGUCAUCACCAGCUAGGUGGCACAAGUGUGCACCACACAGACACGGCCCGUGAUUCAGCGUCCUUCAGUUUCUAGAAUAAGCUUCUCCUAAAAUAUAAGAAAAACAAAACAGAUGUCAGCCUGUGUUUGGAGAAUUUUCCACAAGUUUUAGUGAAAGAUAAUAAUAAUAGCUAAUAUUUAUUGGGUACUUACUAGGAUUGGGUCAGAUCUAAGCACUUCACAUACUAAUUCACCAUAAACAAACUCAUCUUCACAACAAUCCUAGGGAGACACUGUUACUUUUCUCUUUUCUAGAUUUUUUGUUGAAGAGACAGAGAAAGAGAGAGAGAGAGAGAAAGUGAGAAAGCACCCCCAAGAGGGGAUAGCCAUGCCUCAGUCCCUUCUCCAUUCUCUUCUCAGGAUUUUGGCCAUGCACGCACACGCACCUGGUAUGUUUCUUGAGCCACCGUAUCCGGCACUCGAACUACGCAGUCUGCCAUGUGGCAUCCAGCCACCUUAACCUCCAUGCCACUGGCCAGCCCACUUUCUUGUUUCAAUUGCUGAGGAAACCAAUGCACAGAAGUUAAGUAACUUACCCAAGUCCAAGUGGCUGAUAAAUAGCAAGCCCAGGAGGAGAUCUGACAUAGUCCGGCUUAAACAUGCACUUUCAGCACUAGGCUAUAGACAUUUCCUUGGAAAUACUUGUGUGCAGAAAUUGUGCCGAUUUUUAUUUUAUUUUAUUUAUUUAUUUUUGAGACAGAAUUUUG
Molecule: long non-coding RNA, 1978 nt
Organism: Tupaia belangeri chinensis (Chinese tree shrew)
Lineage: Eukaryota; Metazoa; Chordata; Mammalia; Scandentia; Tupaiidae
Exons: 6
Source: RefSeq, a predicted model, not a curated record